This 468-nucleotide ribosomal RNA is filed under the name uncultured bacterium. Its description in RNAcentral is "partial 16S ribosomal RNA". It matches the Rfam family "Bacterial small subunit ribosomal RNA", at positions 28 to 507 of the family's 1533-position model. The record is from RNAcentral.
GACGAACGCUGGCGGCGUGCUUAACACAUGCAAGUCGAACGGAAAGGCCCUGCGUUUGUGGGGUGCUCGAGUGGCGAACGGGUGAGUAACACGUGAGUAACCUGCCCUUGUCUGUGGGAUAACUUCAGGAAACUGGGGCGAAUACCGGAUAGGAGCUCCUGCUGCACGGGGGGGGAUGGAAAGUUUCGGCGGUUGGGGAUAGUCUCGCGGCUUAUCAGCUGGUUGGUGGAGUAGUGGCUGACCAAGGCUUUGACGGGUAGCCGGCGUGAGAGGGUGACCGGCCACAUUGGGACUGAGAUACGGCCCAGACUCCUACGGGAGGCAGCAGUGGGGAAUAUUACACAAUGGGCGGAAGCCUGAUGCAGCAACGCCGCGUGCGGGAUGACGGCUUUCGGGUUGUAAACCGCUUUCGCCUGUGACGAAGCGUGAGUGACGGUAAUGGGUAAGGAAGCACCGGCUAACUACGUG